GUCGUCAGCUUGACAGUUGAACACAUUCCUAAUCUUCCCCACGAUCAUGAGAGCUAGAGUGGUCUUCCCUGAUCCAGGGACCUGCUAGGCUACUGGUCCUUCCUCUUCUCUUCUGUAAUGAGCCAUAACAACUAUGUAAGUCCAAGAGCUUCUAGCAUCUGCUUUUACUAGCACAUGCAGAGAGCACACCGCAAAAUAAGGUCAACUGGAAGGAAUGCAGAGACCAGAUGUGGAACUAAGAGGGAGAAAAACACACAGACACAGAGUAAGGCUGUCAGGAUCUCCAGCAGCUCGCUCUCCACCAGCUUCCUCGCCAGCUCAGCAUCCGCUGAUAGCAGGUUGUGGGCAAUGACCAGGCCCCGGUGCUGCACGGACAACUGGUCAUGCAGGCAAAGCCGCUGUAGGAUCUCCAGCCACUGGGUUGUCUGCCGAGUGGAAGUUGAAGAAUCAGUGAGGAGGCAGAGGAAAGACUUUUCUUAACAAGAAAAACAAAAAGUAUCAGCCGUGCCCACAGCUAAGUAACUUGAUUAUGACCACAUAUCUAUAAAUAGUAAUAGACUAAACUAAAAUAGACUAAU
This 578-nucleotide long non-coding RNA is filed under the name Mus caroli (Ryukyu mouse). RNAcentral's name for it is "lncRNA (MGP_CAROLIEiJ_G0002669.1)". The record is from RNAcentral. Lineage: Eukaryota; Metazoa; Chordata; Mammalia; Rodentia; Muridae.